ACUCUACUGUCAGCUUCAGUGUUAUCACAGUCAAGGUGCCUGGACUCUACUGUCAGCUUCAGUGUUAUCACAGUCAAGGUGCCUGGACUCUACUGUCAGCUUCAGUGUUAUCACAGUCAAGGUGCCUGGACUCUACUGUCAGCUUCAGUGUUAUCACAGUCAAGGUGCCUGGACUCUACUGCCAGCUUCAGUGUUAUCACAGUCAAGGUGCCUGGACUCUACUGUCAGCUUCAGUGUUAUCACAGUCAAGGUGCCUGGACUCUACUGUCAGCUUCAGUGUUAUCACAGUCAAGGUGCCUGGACUCUACUGUCAGCUUCAGUGUUAUCACAGUCAAGGUGCCUGGACUCUACUGUCAGCUUCAGUGUUAUCACAGUCAAGGUGCCUGGACUCUACUGUCAGCUUCAGUGUUAUCACAGUCAAGGUGCCUGGACUCUACUGUCAGCUUCAGUGUUAUCACAGUCAAGGUGCCUGGACUCUACUGCCAGCUUCAGUGUUAUCACAGUCAAGGUGCCUGGACUCUACUGUCAGCUUCAGUGUUAUCACAGUCAAGGUGCCUGGACUCUACUGCCAGCUUCAGUGUUAUCACAGUCAAGGUGCCUGGACUCUACUGUCAGCUUCAGUGUUAUCACAGUCAAGGUGCCUGGACUCUACUGCCAGCUUCAGUGUUAUCACAGUCAAGGUGCCUGGACUCUACUGUCAGCUUCAGUGUUAUCACAGUCAAGGUGCCUGGACUCUACUGUCAGCUUCAGUGUUAUCACAGUCAAGGUGCCUGGACUCUACUGUCAGCUUCAGUGUUAUCACAGUCAAGGUG
Molecule: long non-coding RNA, 812 nt
Organism: Oncorhynchus keta (chum salmon)
Lineage: Eukaryota; Metazoa; Chordata; Actinopteri; Salmoniformes; Salmonidae
Exons: 3
Source: RefSeq, a predicted model, not a curated record